This 465-nucleotide ribosomal RNA is filed under the name uncultured bacterium. RNAcentral's name for it is "bacterial SSU rRNA". It matches the Rfam family "Bacterial small subunit ribosomal RNA", at positions 338 to 795 of the family's 1533-position model. The record is from RNAcentral.
CCUACGGGUGGCAGCAGUCGAGAAUCUUUCACAAUGGGGGCAACCCUGAUGGAGUGACGCCGCGUGGAGGAUAAGGUCUUCGGAUUGUAAACUCCUGUCAUGCAUGAACAAGGUGCGUUUUCAAAUAAAGAAUUGCACUUGAUUGUAUUGCAAGAGGAAGAGGCGGCAAACUCUGUGCCAGCAGCCGCGGUAAUACAGAGGCCUCAAGCGUUGUUCGGAUUUACUGGGCGUAAAGGGUGUGCAGGUGGUGUAAAAAGUUAAACGACAAAGCCUUGGGCUUAACCUAAGAAUAAAGUUUGAAACUCUUAUGCUAGAGUCUGGGAGAGGGGGGUGGAAUUCACGGAGUAGCAGUGAAAUGCGUAGAGAUCGUGAGGAAGACCAAAGGCGAAGGCAGCCCCCUGGAACAGUACUGACACUAAAACACGAAGGCUAAGGUAACGAACGGGAUUAGAUACCCGUGUAGUC